This is a long non-coding RNA of Culex quinquefasciatus (southern house mosquito), 677 nucleotides long. RefSeq lists it as uncharacterized. The record is from RefSeq and is a predicted model, not a curated record. The transcript has 2 exons. Lineage: Eukaryota; Metazoa; Arthropoda; Insecta; Diptera; Culicidae.
AACUGUCAUCGCAGACGCGCGCACUUUUCGAGCUGUUUUGUUUACCAACAAGUUGCAUAACCAAAUUAAACAGCAUUGGCUGGUUACAAAUUUAAUGGUUAAAUUUAAUUUAAUCCCGCGGCACGGGAACCAACAUAAAAAACAACGAACGGAGAAAAAGAAUAAUCACACUUCUUAGCAUCGGUGAUACAAUCGAAGACGGACAGUGAGUACCUCGGAACGACUGGGCGGACAAGCGUGUCAACAAAUGAAAUAUCCUUGGGAUGAAGACCAUCGUUAUCUGUGCUGAAACGGCCGGAAGGUUGUGAUUGCGCUUUCCGGUGUCGAGAUGUUGUAGCUGUUCCGGAUCAAGAUGCUUGGGAUUUGGAAGAUUGUUUCUUCCUGGGCCGAGGUGCAACAACAACACCAAGAUCGGUGGAACGCGGGCGGCUGGAGGCCGCUGAACGACGGCGCGUAAUGGUCGGAAUAGAUCCGGAAGCCGCGGUGCGUGUGCAGCUGAGGAGGUUGCAUUGCAGGUGCAGAUAUGGAGAAGAAGAAAAGUGUGAUUGAAGAAGGGUGAAGAAGAGGCCGAAGGCCAACAUGGAUAAAAAAGGAAGAGGUUGAGAAUAAGAAUAAAAAGAUUAAGCGAAGAAGUUAUGUACAUUUGUGGGCAAUAAACAUGUGACGUUGUUGGACAA